RNAcentral lists this ribosomal RNA (519 nucleotides) under Micrococcus flavus. Its description in RNAcentral is "bacterial SSU rRNA". It matches the Rfam family "Bacterial small subunit ribosomal RNA", at positions 109 to 642 of the family's 1533-position model. Lineage: Bacteria; Bacillati; Actinomycetota; Actinomycetes; Micrococcales; Micrococcaceae. The record is from RNAcentral.
AGUAACACGUGAGUAACCUGCCCUUGACUCUGGGAUAAGCCCGGGAAACUGGGUCUAAUACCGGAUAGGAGCGCCUGUCGCAUGACGGGUGCUGGAAAGAUCUUUCGGUCAUGGAUGGACUCGCGGCCUAUCAGCUUGUUGGUGAGGUAACGGCUCACCAAGGCGACGACGGGUAGCCGGCCUGAGAGGGUGACCGGCCACACUGGGACUGAGACACGGCCCAGACUCCUACGGGAGGCAGCAGUGGGGAAUAUUGCACAAUGGGCGAAAGCCUGAUGCAGCGACGCCGCGUGAGGGAUGACGGCCUUCGGGUUGUAAACCUCUUUCAGCAGGGAAGAAGCGAAAGUGACGGUACCUGCAGAAGAAGCACCGGCUAACUACGUGCCAGCAGCCGCGGUAAUACGUAGGGUGCGAGCGUUAUCCGGAAUUAUUGGGCGUAAAGAGCUCGUAGGCGGUUUGUCACGUCUGUCGUGAAAGUCCGGGGCUUAACCCCGGAUCUGCGGUGGGUACGGGCAGACU